GACGAACGCUGGCGGCGUGCUUAACACAUGCAAGUCGAACGGAAAGGCCCCCUUGUGGGGUACUCGAGUGGCGAACGGGUGAGUAACACGUGAGUAACCUACCCUUGACUUUGGGAUAACUUCAGGAAACUGGGGCUAAUACCGGAUAGGAGCUCCUGCUGCAUGGUGGGGGUUGGAAGGUUUCGGCGGUUGGGGAUGGACUCGCGGCUUAUCAGCUUGUUGGUGGGGUAGUGGCUCACCAAGGCUUUGACGGGUAGCCGGCCUGAGAGGGUGACCGGCCACAAUGGGACUGAGAUACGGCCCAGACUGCUACGGGAGGCAGCAGUGGGGAAUAUUGCACAAUGGGCGGAAGCCUGAUGCAGCAACGCCGCGUGCGGGAUGACGGCCUUCGGGUUGUAAACCGCUUUCGCCUGUGACGAAGCGUGAGUGACGGUAAUGGGUAAAGAAGCACCGGCUAACUACGUG
Molecule: ribosomal RNA, 465 nt
Filed under: uncultured bacterium
Lineage: Bacteria
Description: partial 16S ribosomal RNA
Rfam family: Bacterial small subunit ribosomal RNA
Source: RNAcentral